AGAAAAUUAGCAAUUAAAUUAAGAGACGUUUCUUAAUUAAGGUUCGGAAGAAACGUCUCUUGCAUCUCUCUCUCCGCUACUCAUCUCCUCCUUCACGAAUCCCAUCCUCUCGAUCUCUCCAAUAUCCCAUGGUUUCAUCGUAUCUUCUUCAAAUCUUCUCGUCUCUCUGUUUUCCUCGUAGAUCCCUCUGUUUUCCCUUUCUAUCCUUCACGACACGGCUGAGGAUCAGGGUUUGGGGCUUUUGCGUGUGAGUGAUUGGAAGAUGUGUUUGAUUAUGAGGUUGGGGCUGGAGAUGAAGGAAGGGUUGUUGUUGUGGUGGCUUUCGAGAGGGAUGACGGAGAAUUUGUCUCGGUGGAAGUGAUGAGGACGACACUUGUUGCAGAAGUGUGUUGACUGAUAAAGAUUUGUUUUUUUUUCUCUAUUGGUUGGGGCAGAGAAGGGUCAGUGAUUAAGCACAAGACAAGUGCUUCGUCUCUAGUUAUUGAUCCAAGUCGUGUAACUCAGCUCUCUUGGACUCCUAGGGUGUUUUUGUACAAGGGACUUCUUACUGAUGAGGAAUGUGAUCAUUUUAUCAAUCAAUCAAUCAUCUUCUUGAUUAUGCUUUUUGUUUGUUUGAGAACUUAGUGAUGAUGAUCAUGGAAUGUUUUGAGACUGUGUGACUAAAGUCAACUACUUUGUUUUUUUAGGUGAAAGGGAAACUUGAGAAGUCAAUGGUUGCGGAUAAUGAUUCAGGUGAGAGCGUGGCAAGUGGAGUGCACACUAGUUCUGGAAUGUUUCUUUCCAAAAGACAGAAGAUGAGUUUUGCAGAGAGAUAGAGCUUCUCGCCAGGCUGCAUCACCGCCAUCUAGUUGCUUUGAAAGGCUUUUGUGUUAAGAAGAACGAGAGGUUCCUUAUCUACAAAUAUAUGGCAAAUGGGAGCUUGACGGAUCAUCUACAUUGUAUGCUCAUGACUCCUAAAUUUUCUUGCUAUAUUGUAGGGCCUUAUGGGACACGGGAUUUUGAUGUCAAGCUGUUUCGGAAAUGUCCCGUAUCCAAACCCUUCUGUCCCCAUCAACAGAUUGUAAUCUCCCUCUUGCUUGAAACGUCAUCGGGCCGUUUCCGACGUGUCCCCGUUUCAGAGACAUUUCCAGUACACGAGAUGGCUACCAGUACACGUGCCCGUGCAACCUAGCAUUUCAUUUUAGUGAUAUAAAAGAAAAAAAAAUAUCAGAAACGGACAAAAUGAACCCACUAAUCCAUAUACAUAGUUUUAAAAUUUAUUUUCAAUCUCUCAAAAUACUUAUCAAAUCUUAUAUUCUUUAUAUUACCCGUGAUGUACAUUUCAUUUUUUAAUGGUAUUUUAGAAAAAAAAUCCUAAAAUAUGGACAUAAAAAAGCUGAAAUUCAGAAAACACAGUUUUAAAACUCAUUUUAAAUUUCUUGAAAAUCUCAGCAGUUCUUACAUUAUUUACAUUAUUCUUGAUAUAUAUAUAUAUAAUUUUAAAGCUAUUAUACAACAAUUUUCAUAAAAAACAGACACAAAUUACCUCUCUUUUGAGGUUCAAAACUUGUCAAUGGAAGGAAUGAGAAGUGAAGUAUGAUGGGGAAGAAGAAAGAGAGUGAGCCUGAGGUUGAUGGAAGUGUCGCAUCCAAGCAAGGUGUUCGGUUGGUUUUCACGUUGAUGGAAGUGUCGCAUCCAAGCAAGGUGUUCGGUUGGUUUUCACGGAUGGAUCCAGAAUCAUAUUUCGUUUGUCCGUAAGUUGUAGAUUCUUGUUUUCUUUUUCUUUUUAGUCAAAUUCAGAGUUUCAUAUGUAUAGAAGAGACUCAUUUGGCCCCUGUCACAGUGACCUAACUUACAAAAAUGUUGUUCUAGGGAACUGGUUCAGCUGGCCCUACGGUUCGAAUAUACAUUGAACAGUUUGAGCCAGA
Molecule: long non-coding RNA, 1907 nt
Organism: Brassica napus (rape)
Lineage: Eukaryota; Viridiplantae; Streptophyta; Magnoliopsida; Brassicales; Brassicaceae
Exons: 6
Source: RefSeq, a predicted model, not a curated record